Ailuropoda melanoleuca (giant panda) is the source of this 119-nucleotide small nucleolar RNA. The record is from Ensembl. Lineage: Eukaryota; Metazoa; Chordata; Mammalia; Carnivora; Ursidae.
GCGUGGCUGAAUACCGUGUUCUUUUUAUCCAUAGUUUACACAGCCAGACACCAUGCAAAUGCCUAUGAUGGUGUGGGGAGUUCUUCCAUAGCUUAUCGUUUUCUAAAGUGGAUACGAAU